UUUUUUAAGUACAUUAACUUAGUGCAUUUUAUAAAUUUGGAUCACAAUUAUUGAGUUUCAAUAACUCAGGUAUAUUUCUAAUCAUGUACAAUUGUUUAUUCAUUAUUUGACCUGGGCCUUAUUAGCAGCAAAAAAACAAUCAGACCUUUUUUGCUCAAAAAGAAUGUCCAAUGUGAUUUUUCGUACAGGUGUGGAUAGAAACCCAACUUUGACCAUAACAAGUGCCUGUGAUGAGAAACCAGUCUUUAAAUGAAUGUUGUGUGAAUUUAAAAAAAAAAAUAUUAGAAUUUGAUAAAGCACAAGAACUUUCAAACAUCAAUUUCAAAAUUAUAUUGAGUCUGUAGUUUGCUAAAACCUACAUUUACUGUAGUUAUAUAUUAGUGUGGGAGUGUUAAACAAUUAUACUCAGAGUUGUCAAUUUUCUACUAUCUACAUUUAAAAAUUAAUGGAAAUAUGUUACAAAGAUGAG
This 469-nucleotide long non-coding RNA is filed under the name Mytilus galloprovincialis (Mediterranean mussel). Lineage: Eukaryota; Metazoa; Mollusca; Bivalvia; Mytilida; Mytilidae. The record is from RNAcentral.